RNAcentral lists this ribosomal RNA (468 nucleotides) under uncultured bacterium. Its description in RNAcentral is "partial 16S ribosomal RNA". It matches the Rfam family "Bacterial small subunit ribosomal RNA", at positions 28 to 507 of the family's 1533-position model. The record is from RNAcentral.
GACGAACGCUGGCGGCGUGCUUAACACAUGCAAGUCGAACGGAAAGGCCCUGCUUUUGUGGUGUGCUCGAGUGGCGAACGGGUGAGUAACACGUGAGUAACCUGCCCUUGACUUUGGGAUAACUUCAGGAAACUGGGGCUAAUACCGGAUAGGAGCUCCUGCUGCAUUGUGGGGGUUGGAAAGUUUCGGCGGUUGGGGAUGGACUCGCGGCUUAUCAGCUUGUUGGUGGGGUAGUGGCUUACCAAGGCUUUGACGGGUAGCCGGCCUGAGAGGGUGACCGGCCACAUUGGGACUGAGAUACGGCCCAGACUCCUAAGGGAGGCAGCAGUGGGGAGUAUUGCACAAUGGGCGGAAGCCUGAUGCAGCAACGCCGCGUGCGGGAUGACGGCCUUCGGGUUGUAAACCGCUUUCGCCUGUGACGAAGCGUGAGUGACGGUAAUGGGUAAAGAAGCACCGGCUAACUACGUG